This 238-nucleotide small nucleolar RNA is filed under the name Lachancea mirantina. RNAcentral's name for it is "Small nucleolar RNA snR80". It matches the Rfam family "Small nucleolar RNA snR80". Lineage: Eukaryota; Fungi; Ascomycota; Saccharomycetes; Saccharomycetales; Saccharomycetaceae. The record is from Rfam by way of RNAcentral.
ACACGUUUGUCUACACUCUGGAUCUCGGCUUGGAUGUGAGACUUGAAUUUUGAGCAUUUCCUUGUGGAACCCCUUUGGGUUAGUACAUGAGGUUGUUGACAAUUCAUAGUGGUCUCUAAUCCAAAUCAUGUGCUGAGCUCCUAUUUAGAAGCAAACAAGAUAAACUCGUCACUUACUCACCGAUGUUUCUAUGCAGAAUUCUGCGAUAGAUUCCUUGGUCCAUAGAAUUGGCAUACAU